UUUACUAUUUCAAUGGUACCUUCACUCUCUGCUUUUAUAGUUUCCUAUUCUUUCAGGCAUUUUCUACCACUUCGCUUUCCUUUCAGUGCCAGUUUAGAUUGUCCUGAAUGAUUUACAUUAUUACAAAUUUUCAUUUACUGCUGCAGGUGGACAGUGUUGAUGAUCUUCUUGGUGCUUCCAUGAUUCCAGAGGCAAAUGCUGAGCUUCUAUUGAAGUAAGUCAGGGAUUGUGGAAACAGUUUCUGAUGCAUUUUAUUCUUGGGCAUAAUCAACACAUGGGGAGAUUUUUAUGGUUGGGGUGAUGUAAAGGAAAUGAUUCAAGUAUUCCCUCAUCUUUGGUUUUCAGUCCACAGAAACUGAGUAGAAUUCAUUCUUAAUAUGGUCAAAUGGAUCUAAGUCUCAGUUCCAUUUCUUUGAAUGUAGAAAGAUGCUACAGUCCAAAUUAAAAGGAAAAAAGUGACCUUGUUCUUAAAGCGAACAAAGACCGAUCUGGUGCUGUUACAGGAGACAGAAUUAGCACACUGGAAGUUGAGAAAUGAGGAGGUGAUGACAAAGCAGUGUUUUGCAGCUUCUCAGAGAGAUUCAGGAGUUCAAAUAAGCCCAUCUGGAAGCCAGCUCUGCAGACUAUUUCCAGAGCAGCAAGCAAUACUGGUAAAGACCAAGCAAUACUGGUAAAGACUGAUUAAUUAUUUUUUUUCUUUAAUCCUGUCAUAGUCCUAUUCCACAGAACACUGACAUUUAAUUUACAUGCCAGUAUAUUUAUACCAUGGAAAGAAACAAACAGGUGACACCCACUUCUGCAGAACACAACUGGAGUUCUCUAAGUACUUCCUCUAAGUAUUCUUUGUAAAUGAAAUGAGUCAGCUAUGCAGGACAGCAUCACCCUUCUCACAGCCUGCAGGCUCCGUGGCAGGGAUGUGUGGCGAGUGACAGGAACUGGGUAAGUUUGCAUGCCAGUGGGAGCAAUGAAAUAAUUUCUCAUGCUAAGGCUGGCUGUACAAGCUGAGGUCUUCCCACUUUCUGAGGAGAUGCUGUUUUUCCUCUCCACACACUGAGCGCUGCAGCUGGCAGCUCCUGGAAGCUGCAGGAAGGCUCUUGCCAUAAUCAUCUACUGAUUCCACUAAGCAUAAGCUCACAUGCAAUUAAGAACAUGUAUCUUAGGUUCUCAAGGAAAAAGAGCACUGGGGGGUGCUUUGCUAACACUUUAGUUGAUGGUAUUUGGCACAAAAGUUAGGUCACUGUAUCUUGGAGUGACUCCUCUGUCACUCUUAAGUGCACAUUUUGGCUUGAUUACACCAUGGGAAAUGCCAGACUCUUCUUGUUGUUGCAAGUAGUGUGAUUCUGAUGUUUAUCACUCACAUUUACCUGCCCUUUCCUUAGUCACAGCUAAAAUACCACUUAUUCAGAGCCACCUCCUAAUUAAAACCUUGGCAGGUUGCACCUAGAGAUUUUCUGUUUCAGCAUAUGACUUUGCUGGCUCCGGGUCUUUUGAAAUUCCUGGUCAGACACAAUUUAGUAUCCAUCUGCCAGACUGCUCUGUCCCAAAGCAUAAAUUACAAGCAGCUGGAGUUCAUGUUAGGGAUGUAAAUACAACUGACUUCCAACCCAUUAAUUCCAACUCAUUGAUCUAUUAAUUUCAAAUCAUUAAUUAAAUUCAGUGGUGAUGAGAUAGU
Ficedula albicollis (Collared flycatcher) is the source of this 1672-nucleotide long non-coding RNA. Lineage: Eukaryota; Metazoa; Chordata; Aves; Passeriformes; Muscicapidae. The record is from Ensembl.